RNAcentral lists this ribosomal RNA (253 nucleotides) under uncultured bacterium. RNAcentral describes it as "partial 16S ribosomal RNA". It matches the Rfam family "Bacterial small subunit ribosomal RNA", at positions 524 to 776 of the family's 1533-position model. The record is from RNAcentral.
UACUUAGGGUGCGAGCGUUAAUCGGAAUUACUGGGCGUAAAGCGUGCGCAGGCGGUUUUGUAAGCCAGAUGUGAAAUCCCCGGGCUUAACCUGGGAAUGGCAUUUGGGACUGCAAGGCUGGAGUGUGGCAGAGGAGACUGGAAUUCCUGGUGUAGCAGUGAAAUGCGUAGAUAUCAGGAGGAAUACCGAUGGCGAAGGCAGGUCUCUGGGCUGACACUGACGCUCAUGCACGAAAGCGUGGGGAGCAAACAGG